RNAcentral lists this transfer RNA (72 nucleotides) under Ictidomys tridecemlineatus (thirteen-lined ground squirrel). RNAcentral describes it as "Spermophilus tridecemlineatus (thirteen-lined ground squirrel) tRNA". It matches the Rfam family "tRNA". From Rfam's summary of the family: Transfer RNA (tRNA) molecules are approximately 80 nucleotides in length. Their secondary structure includes four short double-helical elements and three loops (D, anti-codon, and T loops). Further hydrogen bonds mediate the characteristic L-shaped molecular structure. tRNAs have two regions of fundamental functional importance: the anti-codon, which is responsible for specific mRNA codon recognition, and the 3' end, to which the tRNAs corresponding amino acid is attached (by aminoacyl-tRNA synthetases). tRNAs cope with the degeneracy of the genetic code in two manners: having more than one tRNA (with a specific anti-codon) for a particular amino acid; and 'wobble' base-pairing, i.e. permitting non-standard base-pairing at the 3rd anti-codon position. Lineage: Eukaryota; Metazoa; Chordata; Mammalia; Rodentia; Sciuridae. The record is from Rfam by way of RNAcentral.
AGGGUUGUGGUUCAGUGGUAGAGCACUUGCCUAGCAUGCGUGAGGCACUGAGUUUGAUUCUCAGCACCACAU